GCUCCGGUAGUUUAGUGAGCGAAAGCGCCUAGCAAUAACUACGAGGAGGUCGCAGGAUCGAAUCCUGCCCAGUGGCU
This is a non-coding RNA of Meloidogyne enterolobii, 77 nucleotides long. The record is from the annotation of a GenBank genome assembly. Lineage: Eukaryota; Metazoa; Nematoda; Chromadorea; Rhabditida; Meloidogynidae.